GAUGAAGAACGCAGCGAAAUGCGAUAAGUAAUGUGAAUUGCAGAAUUCAGUGAAUCAUCGAAUCUUUGAACGCACCUUGCACCCUUUGGCAUUCCGAAGGGUAUGCUCGUUUGAGUGUCAUUGUACUCUCACACUCUCCGAUCCUAUGGAUUCGGGGAGCGGUGGACUUGGGUGUUGCUGCCUUUCCUUGUGGCUCACCUCAAAUGUGUCAGUGCACCUCUUGGUUGGACAUAGUACGGCGUGAUAAGUGUCUUCGCCGGCACCUCGCAAGAGGGUGGCCGAUCGGGAGCUCUGUGCUUUCAACCCGUCUUCGGACAAUUUCUGACAACUUGACCUCAAAUCGAGUAGGACUACCCGCUGAACUUAAGCAUAUCAAUAAGCGGAGGA
This 387-nucleotide unclassified non-coding RNA is filed under the name soil metagenome. Its description in RNAcentral is "partial contains 5.8S ribosomal RNA, internal transcribed spacer 2, and large subunit ribosomal RNA". The stretch from base 1 to 120 matches the Rfam family "5.8S ribosomal RNA", at positions 35 to 154 of the family's 154-position model. The record is from RNAcentral.